CCCGGUCGAGGACGGCCCCGC
This 21-nucleotide microRNA is filed under the name Brachypodium distachyon (stiff brome). RNAcentral describes it as "bdi-miR7768a-5p". The record is from miRBase by way of RNAcentral. Lineage: Eukaryota; Viridiplantae; Streptophyta; Magnoliopsida; Poales; Poaceae.